RNAcentral lists this unclassified non-coding RNA (214 nucleotides) under Farysia acheniorum. RNAcentral's name for it is "ITS 1". The record is from RNAcentral. Lineage: Eukaryota; Fungi; Basidiomycota; Ustilaginomycetes; Ustilaginales; Ustilaginaceae.
AUGAUUCUUUAACCUGGGAAGUAGGAGGCUUGCCUCUCUUUCCGCAAGGUGUGGCUCCGCACCUUUUAAAUCUAAACUUGGGCUACCAUUUUACACACGGUUGCAUCUGCUGGGCUGUCUUCGGGCGCUCAGCAAUACACACACACACGCUGAUCUAUAGGAUUUGUAUGGUUUUAUGAUAACGACUGGUAAUGCGGUCGUAUAACAUUAAUAA